UACAGAGGGUGCCAGCGUUAAUCGGAAUUACUGGGCGUAAAGGGCGGGUAGGCGGUGAUGUAAGUUGGAUGUGAAAUCCCUGGGCUUAACCUAGGAACUGCAUCCAAGACUGUGUUACUCUAGUGCGGUAGAGGGUAGUGGAAUUUCCGGUGUAGCGGUGAAAUGCGUAGAUAUCGGAAGGAACACCAGUGGCGAAGGCGGCUACCUGGACUGACACUGACGCUGAGGCGCGAGAGCGUGGGGAGCAAACAGG
This 253-nucleotide ribosomal RNA is filed under the name uncultured bacterium. RNAcentral describes it as "partial 16S ribosomal RNA". It matches the Rfam family "Bacterial small subunit ribosomal RNA", at positions 524 to 776 of the family's 1533-position model. The record is from RNAcentral.